This 253-nucleotide ribosomal RNA is filed under the name uncultured bacterium. Its description in RNAcentral is "partial 16S ribosomal RNA". It matches the Rfam family "Bacterial small subunit ribosomal RNA", at positions 524 to 776 of the family's 1533-position model. The record is from RNAcentral.
UACAGAGGGUGCAAGCGUUGUUCGGAAUUAUUGGGCGUAAAGCGCGUGUAGGCGGCUUAGCAAGUCGGGCGUGAAAGCCCUCGGCUCAACCGAGGAAGUGCACCCGAAACUGCUGAGCUUGAGUGCCGGAGAGGAUGGCGGAAUUCCAGGUGUAGCGGUGAAAUGCGUAGAUAUCUGGAGGAACACCGGUGGCGAAGGCGGCAUCCUGGACCGGUAUUGACGCUGAGGCGCGAAAGCCAGGGGAGCAAACGGG